This 488-nucleotide ribosomal RNA is filed under the name uncultured bacterium. RNAcentral's name for it is "partial 16S ribosomal RNA". It matches the Rfam family "Bacterial small subunit ribosomal RNA", at positions 28 to 507 of the family's 1533-position model. The record is from RNAcentral.
GACGAACGCUGGCGGCGUGCUUAACACAUGCAAGUCGAACGGAAAGGCCCUGCUUUUGUGGGGUGCUCGAGUGGCGAACGGGUGAGUAGCACGUGAGUAACCUGCCCUUGACUUUGGGAUAACUUCAGGAAACUGGGGCUAAUACCGGAUAGGAGCUCCUGCUGCAUGGUGGGGGUUGGAAAGUUUCGGCGGUUGGGGAUGGACUCGCGGCUUAUCAGCUUGUUGGUGGGGUAGUGGCUUACCAAGGCUUUGACGGGUAGCCGGCCUGAGAGGGUGACCGGCAACACUGGAACGGGGACACGGCCCAGACUCCUACGGGAGGCAGGAGGAGGGAAUCUUCCGCAACGGGCGAAAGCCUGACGGAGCAACGCCGCGUGAGUGAUGAAGGUCUUCGGAUCGUAAAACUCUGUUAUUAGGGAAGAACAAAGGUGUAAGUAACUAUGCACGUCUUGACGGUACCUAAUCAGAAAGCCACGGCUAACUACGUG